Choloepus hoffmanni (Hoffmann's two-fingered sloth) is the source of this 302-nucleotide unclassified non-coding RNA. Its record names the gene 7SK. It matches the Rfam family "7SK RNA". From Rfam's summary of the family: 7SK was discovered as an abundant small nuclear RNA in the mid-70s but a possible function has only recently been suggested. NCBI's taxonomy places the organism in Eukaryota, Metazoa, Chordata, Mammalia, Pilosa, Megalonychidae. The record is from Ensembl.
CGAUCUGAGCGUGAUCUGGCUGUGACAUCUGCCACCCCAUUGAUCACUAGGGUUGAUAGAGCUGACCUGGCUGGCUAGGCGGGGGUCCCCUUCCUCCCUCACUGCUCCAUGUGCAUCCCUCCCGAAGCUGCACACUCACUUGAAGAGGAUGACUUCCCCUCUAGAGGAGGACCGUUUUUUGCUCAAGGGUAUGUGAGUAGCUGUGUUCCCAUAUUAGAGCCUCCAAACAUGCUCUCAAAGGGCAUAUUGUUUUUUCUUCAAAUCCUUUUUUUAAAAUUCUGUUUUUUUGAGAUAAAAUCACA